RNAcentral lists this ribosomal RNA (191 nucleotides) under uncultured Staphylococcus sp. RNAcentral describes it as "partial 16S ribosomal RNA". It matches the Rfam family "Bacterial small subunit ribosomal RNA", at positions 149 to 334 of the family's 1533-position model. Lineage: Bacteria; Bacillati; Bacillota; Bacilli; Caryophanales; Staphylococcaceae. The record is from RNAcentral.
UCGGGAAACCGGAGCUAAUACCGGAUAAUAUUUUGAACCGCAUGGUUCAAAAGUGAAAGACGGUCUUGCUGUCACUUAUAGAUGGAUCCGCGCUGCAUUAGCUAGUUGGUAAGGUAACGGCUUACCAAGGCAACGAUGCAUAGCCGACCUGAGAGGGUGAUCGGCCACACUGGAACUGAGACACGGUCCAG